GGGGAUACAGCUCAGUUAGUAGAGUGCUUGCCUUGCAUGUAUGAGACCCUAGGUUCAAUCCCCAGUACCACCA
Molecule: non-coding RNA, 73 nt
Organism: Ictidomys tridecemlineatus (thirteen-lined ground squirrel)
Lineage: Eukaryota; Metazoa; Chordata; Mammalia; Rodentia; Sciuridae
Source: Rfam